This 480-nucleotide ribosomal RNA is filed under the name uncultured Alphaproteobacteria bacterium. Its description in RNAcentral is "bacterial SSU rRNA". It matches the Rfam family "Bacterial small subunit ribosomal RNA", at positions 1028 to 1510 of the family's 1533-position model. Lineage: Bacteria; Pseudomonadati; Pseudomonadota; Alphaproteobacteria. The record is from RNAcentral.
GCGCACACAGGUGCUGCAUGGCUGUCGUCAGCUCGUGUCGUGAGAUGUGGGUUAAGUCCCGCAACGAGCGCAACNCACGUCCUUAGUUGCCAUCAUUCAGUUGGGCACUCUAGGGAGACUGCCGGUGAUAAGCCGCGAGGAAGGUGUGGAUGACGUCAAGUCCUCAUGGCCCUUACGGGAUGGGCUACACACGUGCUACAAUGGCGGUGACAGUGGGACGCGAAGGGGCGACCUGGAGCAAAUCCCCAAAAGCCGUCUCAGUUCGGAUUGCACUCUGCAACUCGGGUGCAUGAAGGCGGAAUCGCUAGUAAUCGUGGAUCAGCAUGCCACGGUGAAUACGUUCCCGGGCCUUGUACACACCGCCCGUCACACCAUGGGAGUUGGUCUUACCCGACGGCGCUGCGCCAACCGCAAGGGGGCAGGCGACCACGGUAGGGUCAGCGACUGGGGUGAAGUCGUAACAAGGUACCAAUCCCGCGG